CCUACGGGAGGCAGCAGUGGGGAAUAUUGGGCAAUGGGCGCAAGCCUGACCCAGCAACGCCGCGUGAAGGAAGAAGGCUUUCGGGUUGUAAACUUCUCUUCUCAGGGACGAAGAAAGUGACGGUACCUGAGGAAUAAGCCACGGCUAACUACGUGCCAGCAGCCGCGGUAAUACGUAGGUGGCAAGCGUUAUCCGGAUUUAUUGGGUGUAAAGGGCGUGUAGGCGGGAGCGCAAGUCAGAUGUGAAAACUCAGGGCUCAACCCUGAGCCUGCAUUUGAAACUGUGUUUCUUGAGUGCUGGGGAGGCAAUCGGAAUUCCGUGUGUAGCGGUGAAAUGCGUAGAUAUACGGAGGAACACCAGUGGCGAAGGCGGAUUGCUGGACAGUAACUGACGCUGAGGCGCGAAAGCGUGGGGAGCAAACAGGAUUAGAUACCCCAGUAGUC
Molecule: ribosomal RNA, 443 nt
Filed under: uncultured bacterium
Lineage: Bacteria
Description: partial 16S ribosomal RNA
Rfam family: Bacterial small subunit ribosomal RNA
Source: RNAcentral